This 555-nucleotide ribosomal RNA is filed under the name Triticum aestivum (bread wheat). Its description in RNAcentral is "partial small subunit ribosomal RNA". The record is from RNAcentral. Lineage: Eukaryota; Viridiplantae; Streptophyta; Magnoliopsida; Poales; Poaceae.
AUGCCAUUGUCUACGUGCAUGCAUCGUUUCCUCAGUGGCAGUAACUCUUCUCGUCUUCCUUUCCUUGGCACUUUGCAGACCAUGUUCAGCGCGGGGACAGAGACAACGGCGACGGCGGCGGAGUGGGCGAUGUCGCUGCUGCUCAACCAUCCGAACGCCCUGGCGAAAGUGCAGGCCGAGAUGGACGCAACCGUCAGAACCACCCGACUGCUCUGCGCCGACGACCUGCCGCACCUCGACUACCUCCACUGCAUCAUCAGCGAGACCCUCCGGUUGUACCUGCCCGUCCCGGCGAUGAUCCCUCACGAGUCCUCCUCGGACUGCACGGUGGCAGGCUACGACGUCCCGAGCGGCACGACGCUGCUCGUGAACGCGUACGCCAUCCACAGGGACCCAGCGGCGUGGGAGCACCCAUUGGAGUUCAGGCCGGAGCGGUUCGAGGAGGGGAACGCCGAGGGUCUGUUCAUGAUGCCGUUCGGGAUGGGGCGGCGCAAGUGCCCCGGCGAGGCCCUCGCGCUGCGGAUGCUGGGCCUGGUGAUGAAGCCAUGUUCCUAG